RNAcentral lists this ribosomal RNA (861 nucleotides) under Hymenochaete senatoumbrina. RNAcentral describes it as "eukaryotic LSU rRNA". It matches the Rfam family "Eukaryotic large subunit ribosomal RNA", at positions 72 to 915 of the family's 3401-position model. The record is from RNAcentral. Lineage: Eukaryota; Fungi; Basidiomycota; Agaricomycetes; Hymenochaetales; Hymenochaetaceae.
GGAUUCCCUUAGUACUGCGAGUGACCGGGAUGAGCUCAAAUUUAAAAUCUGGCGGUCUUGCCGUCCGAGUUGUAAUCUGGAGAAGCGUUUUCCGCGUCAGACCGUGUACAAGUCUCUUGGAAUAGAGCGUCAUAGAGGGUGAGAAUCCCGUCCAUGACACGGACUCCUGAUGCUUUGUGAUACGCUCUCAAAGAGUCGAGUUGUUUGGGAAUGCAGCUCAAAAUGGGUGGUAAAUUCCAUCUAAAGCUAAAUAUUGGCGAGAGACCGAUAGCGAACAAGUACCGUGAGGGAAAGAUGAAAAGCACUUUGGAAAGAGAGUUAAACAGUACGUGAAAUUGUUGAAAGGGAAACGCUUGAAGUCAGUCGCGUCGUACGGAGCUCAGCCUGGCUUUUGCCAGGUGUAUUCUCCGUGUCGAUGGGUCAACAUCAAUUUUGACCGGUGGAGAAGGGCUCAGGGAAUGUAGCGUCGUUUCGGCGACGUGUUAUAGCCUUGGGUCGUAUGCAUCGGUUGGGAUUGAGGACCGCAGCACGCCCUUGUGGCCGAGGGUUCGCCCUACGUUCGUGCUUAGGAUGUUGGCAUAAUGGCUUUAAGCGACCCGUCUUGAAACACGGACCAAGGAGUCUAACAUGCCUGCGAGUGUUCGGGUGGAAAACCCUUGCGCGUAAUGAAAGUGAAAGUUGGGAUCCUCCGCAAGGGGGUGCACCGACGCCCGGCCCAGACGUUCUCUGACGGUGCUGCGGUAGAGCAUGUAUGUUGGGACCCGAAAGAUGGUGAACUAUGCCUGAAUAGGGUGAAGCCAGAGGAAACUCUGGUGGAGGCUCGUAGCGAUUCUGACGUGCAAAUCGAUCGUCAAAUUUGGG